GUGCUUUCUUCAGCAGCACAUAUACAAAAAACUGAAACAACACAGAGAAGGGUAGCAUGGCCCCGGUGCUAGAAUGACAUGCAAAUGUGUGAGGUGUUCUGUGUUUGU
Molecule: small nuclear RNA, 108 nt
Organism: Erinaceus europaeus (western European hedgehog)
Lineage: Eukaryota; Metazoa; Chordata; Mammalia; Eulipotyphla; Erinaceidae
Source: Ensembl